Molecule: long non-coding RNA, 239 nt
Filed under: Elaeis guineensis (African oil palm)
Lineage: Eukaryota; Viridiplantae; Streptophyta; Magnoliopsida; Arecales; Arecaceae
Description: long non-coding RNA (EGUI_LNC070090)
Source: RNAcentral
AGAUCAUCAUGGUGACUUGCUAGCAACUCACUGUGCUUUGAUGUCAGACUAUCUGAAUUUUUAAUUUAGUAAUGAAAAAUUUUUAGGUGCAAUCAAGUACUUGUCAAGUCGGUGUGUGACUCAAGAUGGGAUUGAUACCUUCGAAUAAGUAGGAGUUAAUGCAUUAGUAUAUUUUAAUUUGAUAAAACCUAGGCUCGGAUAAUCCAUGCAAUGGAUUUGAAAAAUUAAAAUAUAAUGUG